CCGCCACUCAGCGCCCGGCGCCUCCUCCCGCCCCGCACCCGCUCCGCCAGGCCCUCCGCUGACAGAACGGGGGGCUCCGCGAGGAUGGAGCCAGGGCCGGUAGAGGGGCACCCCCUUUCCUCAUCGCGUCCGGGGUGCGGGGGGGAGGUCACACCCCCACCCCUCUCCUCGGAAUGAUUUCCCGUGCUUCACCCCGCUCUAAGGCGGAGCCAGGCGGGGGAAGAUCCGACAUGAAUGAGGCCAAGGCCCUGCCCGGUGAAAUUCAUUCAUUCGACACGUAUUCGUUGGGCGCUGGGACAUGGCGAAUCUGAGCUCCAGGAGGGCCUAGGGAUUCUUGUCUUAUCUGUAGUUGUAUCUCCGGGGCCUAGAAGACAACUUGAUGUGCAGUAGCUACUCAGCAUCCCUCUGUGUGUGAAAGAAGAACUGAGGAAGGAAUGACAGUGGUGUAGAAGGUAGAGAGAACGUGGAAGCAAAGAAGAUUUCUUCUCCUAUUGUAAAAGCUCAUCUGGGAGAGUGACCUCAGAAACUUGCUCAGUAGUCCUUCCCCUAAGGGGGACAGAAUUACAUACAUGUGGUAGGCGGGGACUGGAUUAAAUCUUCCAGGGCUUCAGUGACCACCCCUGCCAGACCAACAGCUACUACCUAGAUUUCUCUUUCCAUGUCUUAGUCUCUGUAUCCAGUGAUUUGGGGGGAGGGGGGAUUGUCUCCAUUUGGGUGCCGCAUAAACACCUCAAACUCAUCAGGCGCGAAACGUAAACAUCACCUCCCAUUAAAGUACCCUUCUCUGCCUGGUCCCUCCCAUACCCAAUGGGUCCAGCCAGAAAUCUGAAACAUCCUUAGCGCCCCCCACUCUUCCCAGAGACAGCCCCCCCCCCCAUAUCCAAUCAACUAUAAGUAGUCCAUUGGGUUUUACUCUCUAAAUAGCCCUCAGGGCUGAACUUUUCUCCAUCCCCACCACAACCAUUCUAAUCCAGCCACCACUACCUCACAAAGCCCAACCACCACGCAGCCACCUCAGGGGUCUCCCCGUAGCCUUGCCUGGCCCCCUCAAAUUCUGUGUUCUUAGUGCAGCCAGAAUGCGCUUUUCCCAACACAAACCUAACCCUGUCUCUCCCUCUGGUUAAGCUUCUCCUUGCCCUCAGGAAAAUGUCUUGACUCUCUAUAAGGCUUACAAGACCCAGUAUGACCUGACAGGAGCCACCUUCUCUCCUGCCUCAUCUCCUGAUUCCUCUAACAAGUCAAACUCUCGGCCUCCAGGCCUUUGCAGAGGCUGUUUCCCUCUGCCUGACCUGCUCUCCCAGCCCCUUCCCCCAGCCUAGCUAACUCCUAGACCUGCGCUGUCCAACAGGGUAGCCACUCAACACACAUGGCUAUUGAGCACUUGAAUUGUGGGGAGUCUGAAUUGAGAUGUGCUGUAAGUAUAAAAUAUCCUCUAGAUUUCAAAGAUUAGUAAGAAAGAAAAUAAUGUAAACCAUCUAUCAAUAUUGAACUGAUAAUAUUUGAA
Long non-coding RNA from Choloepus didactylus (southern two-toed sloth), 1504 nucleotides. RefSeq lists it as uncharacterized. Lineage: Eukaryota; Metazoa; Chordata; Mammalia; Pilosa; Megalonychidae. The transcript has 3 exons. The record is from RefSeq and is a predicted model, not a curated record.